RNAcentral lists this ribosomal RNA (647 nucleotides) under uncultured prokaryote. Its description in RNAcentral is "bacterial SSU rRNA". It matches the Rfam family "Archaeal small subunit ribosomal RNA", at positions 114 to 746 of the family's 1478-position model. The record is from RNAcentral.
CUGCGGAGGGGGAUAACCCCGGGAAACUGGGGAUAAACCCCCAUAGGUGACUGGGUCUGGAAGGACCGGUCGCCGAAAGUCCCGGUCGGGGAUGCUCCGGCCGGGAGCCGCAGGAUGGGGCUGCGUCCUAUCAGGUAGUUGGUGGGGUAACGGCCCACCAAGCCUGUGACGGGUAGGGGCCCUGAGAGGGGGAGCCCCCAGAUGGACUCUGAGACAAGAGUCCAGGCCCUACGGGGCGCAGCAGGCGCGAAGACUCCGCAAUGGGCGAAAGCCCGACGGGGCUACCCCGAGUGCCACCCUCGUGGUGGCUUUUGCCCGCUCUAAAAAGGCGGGCGAAUAAGGGGAGGGCAAGUCGGGUGUCAGCCGCCGCGGUAAUACCCGCUCCCCGAGUGGUGGAGGCUAUUACUGGGCCUAAAGCGCCCGUAGCCGGCCCGGUGUGUCCCUCGUUAAAUCCACGGGCUUAACCCGUGGGCUGCGGGGGAUACUACCGGGCUUGGGGGUGGGAGAGGCGCCCGGUAUUCCCGGGGUAGGGGUAAAAUCCUCUGAUCCCGGGAGGACCAUCAGUGGCGAAGGCGGGGCGCCAGAACACGCCCGACGGUGAGGGGUGAAAGCUGGGGGAGCAAACGGGAUUAGAUACCCCCGUAGUC